GGUUUGGAGAAAAUGGAGAAAACUUUAGAAAGUGUUCAAGAUAGUAAAAAUCAUAAGGAUUCAUAUUUGAUAAAAGAUGAUGAAAAUGAUACAAUGGUGACUCUUAUAUAGAGCAAUUUAGGGGUUAACUAACUAACCACCUAAUAACAAACUUUAACAAAUUAAUAUAAACUCUAACUAACUAAUAGUAGCUACUAGCUAAUAACCAUUAUUCUUAACAUCCCCCCUCAAACUCAACAUUGGAAAAUUUUCCAAUUUUCCAAUUUGAGG
RNAcentral lists this long non-coding RNA (270 nucleotides) under Trifolium pratense (red clover). RNAcentral's name for it is "long non-coding RNA (TPRA_LNC007811)". The record is from RNAcentral. Lineage: Eukaryota; Viridiplantae; Streptophyta; Magnoliopsida; Fabales; Fabaceae.